Molecule: ribosomal RNA, 253 nt
Filed under: uncultured bacterium
Lineage: Bacteria
Description: partial 16S ribosomal RNA
Rfam family: Bacterial small subunit ribosomal RNA
Source: RNAcentral
UACGUAGGGGGCUAGCGUUGUCCGGAUUUAUUGGGCGUAAAGAGCGUGUAGGCGGCCAGGUAGGUCUGCUGUGAAAACUCGAGGCUCAACCUCGAGACGUCGGCGGAAACCAUCUGGCUAGAGUCCGGAAGAGGAGAGUGGAAUUCCUGGUGUAUCGGUGAAAUGCGCAGAUAUCAGGAAGAACACCCGUGGCGAAGGCGGCUCUCUGGGACGGUACUGACGCUGAGACGCGAAAGCGUGGGGAGCGAACAGG